UACGGGGGGAGCAAGCGUUGUUCGGAUUUACUGGGCGUAAAGGGCGCGUAGGCGGUCAGCACAAGUCGAGUGUGAAAGCCCCCGGCUCAACUGGGGAGGGUCAUUCGAUACUGAUCGACUCGAAGGCAGGAGAGGGUAGUGGAAUUCCCGGUGUAGUGGUGAAAUGCGUAGAUAUCGGGAGGAACACCAGUGGCGAAGGCGACUACCUGGCCUGUUCUUGACGCUGAGGCGCGAAAGCUAGGGGAGCAAACGGG
This 254-nucleotide ribosomal RNA is filed under the name uncultured bacterium. RNAcentral describes it as "partial 16S ribosomal RNA". It matches the Rfam family "Bacterial small subunit ribosomal RNA", at positions 524 to 776 of the family's 1533-position model. The record is from RNAcentral.